Molecule: ribosomal RNA, 301 nt
Filed under: uncultured bacterium
Lineage: Bacteria
Description: partial 16S ribosomal RNA
Rfam family: Bacterial small subunit ribosomal RNA
Source: RNAcentral
CAGCAGCCACGGUAAUACGAAGGGGGCUAGCGUUGCUCGGAAUGACUGGGCGUAAAGGGCGCGUAGGCGGAUUGUUUAGUUAGGCGUGAAAUUCCUGGGCUUAACCUGGGGACUGCGCUUAAUACAGGCAGUCUAGAGUGAGGAAGAGGGUUGUGGAAUUCCCAGUGUAGAGGUGAAAUUCGUAGAUAUUGGGAAGAACACCAGUGGCGAAGGCGGCUCACUGGCCCGAUACUGACGCUGAGGUGCGAAAGCGUGGGGAGCAAACAGGAUUAGAUACCCCUGUAGUCCCUGUCUCUUAUAC